AGUGAACGCUGGCGGUAGGCCUAACACAUGCAAGUCGAACGGCAGCACAGUAAGAGCUUGCUCUUACGGGUGGCGAGUGGCGGACGGGUGAGGAAUACAUCGGAAUCUACUUUUUCGUGGGGGAUAACGUAGGGAAACUUACGCUAAUACCGCAUACGACCUACGGUUGAAAGCAUGGGAUCUUCGGACCUUGCGCGAUUGAAUGAGCCGAUGUCGGAUUAGCUAGUUGGCGGGGUAAAGGCCCACCAAGGCGACGAUCCGUAGCUGGUCUGAGAGGAUGAUCAGCCACACUGGAACUGAGACACGGUCCAGACUCCGACGGGAGGCAGCAGUGGGGAAUAUUGGACAAUGGGCGCAAGCCUGAUCCAGCCAUACCGCGUGGGUGAAGAAGGCCUUCGGGUUGUAAAGCCCUUUUGUUGGGAAAGAAAAGCAGCAGGUUAAUACCCCGCUGUUCUGACGGUACCCAAAGAAUAAGCACCGGCUAACUUCGUG
RNAcentral lists this ribosomal RNA (492 nucleotides) under uncultured bacterium. RNAcentral's name for it is "partial 16S ribosomal RNA". It matches the Rfam family "Bacterial small subunit ribosomal RNA", at positions 29 to 507 of the family's 1533-position model. The record is from RNAcentral.